UGGCGCAGGGAUACCUAAAGGUGCUUGCCUGUAGGAGGGAAUGUACGCUGUGAGAGUCCAGGGCUCAGUGAUACACUUCCCAAACGCCCGGAAGGCCCCUGUGAAAAAACGGCGCGCAAGGAUCAACAGCCUGCGGGAGUUGGGGCUGUUGCCCGCGGCCGCCGAGAUGCGGCAAGCGACUGGGUGGACGCCACGUGGGGCUACUAGGAGGUGGUUCCGGGAGCGCUCGUCCCGGAUAAUUGCCUUUCUCCAUCUGCACACACGCAGGCCAAGCUGGACCUCCCGGAGGUGCUGGAGCUGAUGGCGCGCGCGAAUUGAGCUCUAAGCCCUAAGCAAGAUCAAAGAGGGAAAGCAGCUAACAGUAUCUUAUAUCAGCUUCUUCAAAGUCGAUAGACUGGAGGAAAAGCAACUGGAAAAGCUGUACUCAUGACCACACAUGUGAACUCUCAGGAAAGAUACCAAAGGACAAACUCUUCUUGAGGUAAAAAGCAACUUAAAGCUGGUGGUGCUGUUUGGGGAGGUUUCAAAACUCUGAGAAGGUGGAGCUGAGCCGAGGAAGUCCAAGUCCAUCACUGGAGGCAGGUCUUGAGGGUUAUAGCCUUGACCUGCUUCCAGUUUCAUCUCUGCUUCCUGGCCCAAGUUAUGCAUCAUCAAGCUGCAAUGCACGCUCGCUGCCAUGGAUGGAGUCCCCGCUGCCAUGGAUGGAACUCCCGCUGCCAUGGAAGGAGACCCCGCUGCCAUGCCUUCCCUCCCACGAUCAACUGUACCUCCUCAAACUGUAAGCCAAACUAAAACCUUUCCUCCCUUGAGUGUUUCUAUCAGGUAUUCUCUCACAGUGAAAAGAAAAUUAAUACGAAUGCUAACCAGUUUCUAAUAUUUGAUCAUCAACAUUUAUGAUUUAGAAGAAUUAUCUGAUUCUCUAGCAUUGGCAGAAAGUAUAAAGCUUUUAAUUAUUUAAUCCCCAUUAUUUUGGUAGAUAGUUUAAGAACAAUCCCAAUUCUGCUAGUGCCCUGUAGCUAAGACCAGACAGGGAGAUAAGGUAUUCUGAGACUUUCCAGCUCGGUGGGUGAUUUUGCAGAUGCAUUUCAGACAGCUUCCAUAAAUUCUCCUUGAGUUUAAAGCCCUGUGGUUGGUGAUAACAGAGCUACUGUAAUGCUUCUAUUUAUAUAAAAAAAUAAGCUAUUUUCCCUCCCAAGAGCCUGUAUUUGUGAAGUCUAACCGAGAUCACUAGAUCUAACAUUUGGAAUGUAAAUGACUCUUUGUAAGGGUGUGGACUUAUAAGAUGUAAAUUUCCAAGAGAAGUCUUCCUACCACCUUGAGAGCUUAACCAAGGGAUUGUCUCAAACUAUAAUCAUUUGCUUAAAGAGGAGCUGAGAAGUUCUAUUAUUCUUUUUGUAAAUCUUAUGGACUAAAACAACUACCUCAAUUUGCAGAUGAAUUUAGGAUGAGCUGAAAUGAAAAAAGAAACAUUAAAAUUGUGCUGAAAGACACGUUAAAAAUCGUUGAAUAACCUGUGCCAAAUGUCCUACUUUAUAUUAGAUAAAAAUUAUAGGAGGCCAUUGUUUGGGAUUCUAAGCUGCUGCAGGAAGCCCCAACAGAGCAUAAUAAAUAUUGAAAUAUUGUUACUCAUACUGAAGCAAGUUAUCUGACCUUCCACAAAUGAGAGGCAAUAAUGCAAUUUCUCAGGCAGGCCAGUUAUAGUAGGCAUGAAAACAAAAUCCUCCCUGUUUCCAAUCUUUAUCCCAAAAAGUAACCUGAAGUAACCUAAAGUUAACCAAUCAGUGUGUUUUCUUUUGUUCUCUAUAUCUUCUGCCAAAGGAACCUUGAAACAACUAAUCCGGUUUGUUAUUUGUGUAUGCUUUUUUCAGCUUCUCUUCGUUUCUCAGUCUUCUGCUCACUUCAUUGGAACAUGUCUUUCUGUUUCAUGAAAUGAAAUGCUGCUGAGUCAAGCACCACAAAGUCACUUAGGGAUCUUUGAGAUAAAUUUUUUGUAUUUUGCCUUUUGACAGCAGUCUUGUUCAGAUUGCCUAUGUGCACAUAACUUGAGUAUGCUUAUUAAAUAAUCAAACAUAAUUAUUUUCUAUGCUUUAUAGAGUAUCCUGUGUUAGUAGCAUUUUUACUUCCUGAAUAUGAUGGCUACCAGCAGAUAGAAAACAGGGUGAAAAAUGUUAGAAGUCAAAAGUCCAGGCAAUGUAUAUAAUACCUACUUAUCUAGACUUGAA
Peromyscus leucopus (white-footed mouse) is the source of this 2222-nucleotide long non-coding RNA. RefSeq lists it as uncharacterized. The record is from RefSeq and is a predicted model, not a curated record. NCBI's taxonomy places the organism in Eukaryota, Metazoa, Chordata, Mammalia, Rodentia, Cricetidae. The transcript has 3 exons.